This 730-nucleotide ribosomal RNA is filed under the name uncultured bacterium. Its description in RNAcentral is "SSU rRNA". It matches the Rfam family "Bacterial small subunit ribosomal RNA", at positions 505 to 1239 of the family's 1533-position model. The record is from RNAcentral.
GUGCCAGCAGCCGCGGUAAUACGGAGGAUCCAAGCGUUAUCCGGAAUCAUUGGGUUUAAAGGGUCCGUAGGUGGAUAAUUAAGUCAGAGGUGAAAUCUUGCAGCUCAACUGUAAAAUUGCCUUUGAUACUGGUUAUCUUGAGUUAUUAUGAAGUAGUUAGAAUAUGUAGUGUAGCGGUGAAAUGCAUAGAUAUUACAUAGAAUACCAAUUGCGAAGGCAGAUUACUAAUAAUCAACUGACACUGAUGGACGAAAGCGUGGGUAGCGAACAGGAUUAGAUACCCUGGUAGUCCACGCCGUAAACGAUGGUUACUAGCUGUUUGGACCUUGUGUCUGAGUGGCUAAGCGAAAGUGAUAAGUAACCCACCUGGGGAGUACGUUCGCAAGAAUGAAACUCAAAGGAAUUGACGGGGGCCCGCACAAGCGGUGGAGCAUGUGGUUUAAUUCGAUGAUACGCGAGGAACCUUACCAGGGCUUAAAUGUAAGUUGCAUUAGUUAGAGAUAGCUAUUUCUUCUGACCACUUACAAGGUGCUGCAUGGUUGUCGUCAGCUCGUGCCGUGAGGUGUCAGGUUAAGUCCUAUAACGAGCGCAACCCCUGUUUGUUAUUUGCCAGCGAGUCAUGUCGGGAACUCUAACAAGACUGCCGGUGCAAACCGUGAGGAAGGUGGGGAUGACGUCAAUCAUCACGGCCCUUACGUCCUGGGCUACACACGUGCUACAAUGGUCGGUA